RNAcentral lists this ribosomal RNA (50 nucleotides) under Chaetosphaeronema sp. RNAcentral's name for it is "partial 28S ribosomal RNA". The record is from RNAcentral. Lineage: Eukaryota; Fungi; Ascomycota; Dothideomycetes; Pleosporales; Phaeosphaeriaceae.
UUUUGACCUCGGAUCAAGUAGGGAUACCCGCUGAACUUAAGCAUAUCAAU